CUUGAUGUGCUGAUCACCGUUCGUUUAAAGUGGUUCGGAAUGCACCAGCCAGAAUUGCCAACUAUUUCUCCUCGACGGUUGCAUCAAGCUAGCAGACUUACAGGGCCGGGUCUCGGGGGGGCAGCAGCUUGAACAGGGAAGCCCGGACUUUCCUGCACUUCAUCCAACCCUUCCGUGGGGAUCCAGAGGCCGGCCGGGAUUCAUCAUCCGGUUCCUCUAGCAUGUCAUCUCCGGGGUCUCCUCUCGGAUCACCUCACCAGGGAGGCAUUCGAACCAGAUGCCCGAGCCACCUCAUACGACUCCUCUCAAUAUGUUC
This is a long non-coding RNA of Hippocampus comes (tiger tail seahorse), 316 nucleotides long. RefSeq lists it as uncharacterized. NCBI's taxonomy places the organism in Eukaryota, Metazoa, Chordata, Actinopteri, Syngnathiformes, Syngnathidae. The record is from RefSeq and is a predicted model, not a curated record. The transcript has 3 exons.